AAAAUGAAAGAGAUAUGAUUUUUUGAAAUAAAAGGAAUUUAAGAAAAUAAAAACAGAAAUUAUAAAAUGCAAAAAAAGGAGGAGCGUUGGAUCUGAGCUCAUUAAUUGAGCUAGCAGAUCACACGCUCCUAAGGCGCGCGCCUAUGGUGAUCCACGGUCAAUGCGUGCACAUGUGAAACAAUAGAAAGUCAUAACAAACAAUGGCUAAGAUUCAAUCUGGGAAAU
Molecule: long non-coding RNA, 225 nt
Filed under: Lathyrus oleraceus (garden pea)
Lineage: Eukaryota; Viridiplantae; Streptophyta; Magnoliopsida; Fabales; Fabaceae
Description: Pisum sativum (pea) long non-coding RNA (PSAT_LNC032022)
Source: RNAcentral